AGCGAACGCUGGCGGCAGGCCUAACACAUGCAAGUCGAACGAACUCUUCGGAGUUAGUGGCGGACGGGUGAGUAACACGUGGGAACGUGCCUUUUGGUUCGGAAUAACUCAGGGAAACUUGUGCUAAUACCGAAUGUGCCCUUCGGGGGAAAGAUUUAUCGCCAUUAGAGCGGCCCGCGUCUGAUUAGCUAGUUGGUGAGGUAACGGCUCACCAAGGCGACGAUCAGUAGCUGGUCUGAGAGGAUGACCAGCCACACUGGGACUGAGACACGGCCCAGACUCCUACGGGAGGAAGCAGUGGGGAAUCUUGCGCAAUGGGCGAAAGCCUGACGCAGCCAGGCCGCGUGAAUGAUGAAGGUCUUAGGAUUGUAAAAUUCUUUCACCGGGGACGAUAAUGACGGUACCCGGAGAAGAAGCCCCGGCUAACUUCGUG
Molecule: ribosomal RNA, 433 nt
Filed under: uncultured bacterium
Lineage: Bacteria
Description: partial 16S ribosomal RNA
Rfam family: Bacterial small subunit ribosomal RNA
Source: RNAcentral